UAAUGGUUAGCACUCUGGACUCUGAAUC
RNAcentral lists this non-coding RNA (28 nucleotides) under Gallus gallus (chicken). The record is from RNAcentral. RNAcentral also lists the same sequence under 5 other names. Lineage: Eukaryota; Metazoa; Chordata; Aves; Galliformes; Phasianidae.